UUCUUAUAAUGUCCACUUUCCGUAAGCCAAAAAAAAAAAAAAAUGGUCUUCCACAAUGGACCUCUGGACGCCACAUUUGCAUAGUUGCAUGAUUGUUUUCUGGCACAAACAAGGAGGGGUGUGUUCAGAUGGUCCUCCUGUGGACGUGGCUGCAGGAGUGGGGUGGUCGGACGAACGAACAAAAGCUCAGUCGCGCCGACUGAGACAGAGAAUCUCAAAGAAUCAAGAUGCUCAAGCUCCUGUUCCUGGUUUCUUGCCUGGUGCCUCUGGCCCUGUGCUACCCUUACUACCCAUCGACAUGCUAUAGCAAAGUCCUGGUCAAGGCGCAGGAGGUCAACCACUUGGCUGCGUAUGUCAAGAGCGCACCUGCAGUUAGCACUUGUGUGGCUCACCUGCCAGCUUUCCAUGUUGACGUCCACAAUGGUUGUGUGAUGUACAAAAUGAGACGCUACAUCUCCCUGGUGGACGGCCUCAGACUCCACCGCUGCGCCUACAGCGCCGAACUGAGAAGGCUCGGCUCCAAUCUGAAGCAGCUCCACCUCAUCAUGCGAGACAGAUGCCACGGGGACCUGGCAUAUACAGGCUACGACUGCGCCGCUCUGGAACACUAACACUCCAGACGCUGCAACAUCAUGGCCGUCUCAAGCGAAAUGUUGAAGGAGGAGUCUUCUCGAGCUUUGUAAAGCAGCUUAUCUGAAAAGAAAGCCUUAGGCGAGCCAUGCUUUUGUCCUUUAUACUUUCAUUCUGCUACAGUUACAGUAACUUGGCUUGACUGAUGACUUUAAAAGCAUUUUUUUGCUCCUUUCCACCAAUAACAAAACUGAACUGAAUUUCUAUAAUUUAUGCCAGUUUUCUAUGAUAUAUAUUCUGUUUUCGUACUUUAUCUUUCGUGGAUCAUUUGAUCAUUUAUCUGUCACUUUCUGUAUCCUUUACCUACAAUAAAAACAUCUUGCAUAAAGUUGC
This 963-nucleotide long non-coding RNA is filed under the name Oryzias javanicus (javanese ricefish). RNAcentral describes it as "lncRNA (ENSOJAG00000003204.1)". The record is from RNAcentral. Lineage: Eukaryota; Metazoa; Chordata; Actinopteri; Beloniformes; Adrianichthyidae.